RNAcentral lists this ribosomal RNA (481 nucleotides) under uncultured bacterium. Its description in RNAcentral is "partial 16S ribosomal RNA". It matches the Rfam family "Bacterial small subunit ribosomal RNA", at positions 28 to 507 of the family's 1533-position model. The record is from RNAcentral.
GAUGAACGCUGGCGGCGUGCUUAACACAUGCAAGUCGAACGAAGCAUUUGCGACAGAUUUUUUCGGAAUGAAGUUGCUUAUGACUGAGUGGCGGACGGGUGAGUAACGCGUGGGUAACCUGCCUUGUACUGGGGGAUAGCAGCUGGAAACGGCUGGUAGUACCGCAUAAGCGCACAAUGUUGCAUGACAUGGUGUGAAAAACUCCGGUGGUAUAAGAUGGACCCGCGUCUGAUUAGCUAGUUGGUGAGAUAACAGCCCACCAAGGCGACGAUCAGUAGCCGACCUGAGAGGGUGACCGGCCACAUUGGGACUGAGACACGGCCCAGACUCCUACGGGAGGCAGCAGUGGGGAAUAUUGCACAAUGGAGGAAACUCUGAUGCAGCGACGCCGCGUGAGUGAAGAAGUAAUUCGUUAUGUAAAGCUCUAUCAGCAGGGAAGAUAGUGACGGUACCUGACGAAGAAGCUCCGGCUAAAUACGUG